RNAcentral lists this unclassified non-coding RNA (288 nucleotides) under uncultured bacterium. RNAcentral describes it as "contains 16S-23S intergenic spacer region". The record is from RNAcentral.
UCCGGGUUUCGCCCGGCAGUCUCCCUAGAACAUGCAGCACCUGUGCACAGGCCCCGAAAGGAGGGUGACUUUCAUCACCUGUCCUGCACAUGUCAAACCCAGGUAAGGUUCUUCGCGUUGCGUCGAAUUAAACCACAUGCUCCACCGCUUGUGCGGGCCCCCGUCAAUUCCUUUGAGUUUCAGCCUUGCGGCCGUACUCCCCAGGCGGGGCACUUAAUGCGUUAGCUCCGGCACGGGAGGAGUCGACACCUCCCACACCUAGUGCCCAUCGUUUACGGCGUGGACUAC